Myotis myotis is the source of this 696-nucleotide long non-coding RNA. RefSeq lists it as uncharacterized. The transcript has 3 exons. NCBI's taxonomy places the organism in Eukaryota, Metazoa, Chordata, Mammalia, Chiroptera, Vespertilionidae. The record is from RefSeq and is a predicted model, not a curated record.
UCUUGUCCUCUGAUGUUUGCUGAUUUGGAUACACCGCUCCUGUUAAACUUGGUGCCUUUAGCUUCCUUGUUUGAUGAGGGUUUUUUUCCAGUCUAGUGAGGUGAGUGAGAAGUGAGAGAAGAGGAUGGAGCAGGUCCAAAUCAAAGACAAGUAGCAGAGGUGGCAAAUGAAGUGAGUCAGGGAUGAUCAACUCAUGGUCACCAAGUCACAUGGAAGAGAAAGGUUUCCACGUACAAUAGUUAUCCACUCUUUACAGAUGAAGAAACUGUAGAAUAAAGAAAGUAAGUAACGAGCAAAGGUAAGUCCAAGAAUACCUGGUAGAGCUGAACCUAGAUUGUCUAACUCCAGAGCCCAUGCCUUUGACCGUUCUAUAAUUUUGCCUUCAUCAGAUAGGAAAGCCUAGAACCACCAAGCUGUCACCUCAAUUGUGAAUCAACGUUGAGUACUGUCUUAGGGUGGGCUUCUUGUAAAAUAAGAACUGUGGAGGAGAAGAAAUCAGCUGAAGGAAGUUCUAGGCAGCCUUCUUCCUUGGUGGGCAGUUGAGAACACCUGGCUCAGGGAACAUGUCCUACAUAGCUCCGACUGGUGGUUUGAGAAGGUCUGUGGUUUACCGUAGUAGGAAGAGAGAACAACAUUUUUGGAAGAGGAAGAGCCAAGCUGUUCAAUGAGUCGCUUCCAGACUCCACCAGCCUGUAU